GCCGGGAUGGCUGAGUGGUAAAGCGCACGCCUGGAAAGCGUGUUCCCUCUGGGAUCCAGGGUUCGAAUCCCUGUCCCGGCG
This 81-nucleotide transfer RNA is filed under the name Haloquadratum sp. RNAcentral's name for it is "tRNA-Ser". It matches the Rfam family "tRNA". Rfam says of the family: Transfer RNA (tRNA) molecules are approximately 80 nucleotides in length. The record is from RNAcentral. Lineage: Archaea; Methanobacteriati; Methanobacteriota; Halobacteria; Halobacteriales; Haloferacaceae.